UACGAAGGGGGCUAGCGUUGUUCGGAUUUACUGGGCGUAAAGCGCGUGUAGGCGGGUCGUUAAGUUGGGGGUGAAAGCCCGAGGCUCAACCUCGGAACUGCCUUCAAAACUGGCGACCUGGAGCAAAGUAGAGGCGAGCGGAAUUCCGAGUGUAGAGGUGAAAUUCGUAGAUAUUCGGAGAAACACCAGAAGCGAAGGCGGCCAACUGGCCCGAUACUGACGCUGAGGCGCGAAAGCGUGGGGAGCAAACAGG
RNAcentral lists this ribosomal RNA (253 nucleotides) under uncultured bacterium. Its description in RNAcentral is "partial 16S ribosomal RNA". It matches the Rfam family "Bacterial small subunit ribosomal RNA", at positions 524 to 776 of the family's 1533-position model. The record is from RNAcentral.